AACGAACGCUGGCGGCGUGUUUAAGACAUGCAAGUCGCACGGAGAAUAUGAAUAGCUUGCUAAUUGUAUUCUUAGUGGCGCACGGGUGAGUAACACGUGAGUUACAUGCCUCACAGAGGGGAAUAGCCCGCCGAAAGGCGGAUUAAUACCCCCAUGGUCCCGCAAGGGUAAAGCGGCUUCGGCUGUCGCUGUGAGAUUGGCUCGCGUCCUAUCAGCUUGUUGGUAAGGUAACGGCUUACCAAGGCAACGACGGGUAGCUGGUCUGAGAGGACGAUCAGUCACACUGGAACUGAGACACGGUCCAGACACCUAC
Molecule: ribosomal RNA, 313 nt
Filed under: uncultured bacterium
Lineage: Bacteria
Description: bacterial SSU rRNA
Rfam family: Bacterial small subunit ribosomal RNA
Source: RNAcentral